RNAcentral lists this ribosomal RNA (1160 nucleotides) under Leptolyngbyaceae cyanobacterium WOS-LAB13. RNAcentral's name for it is "bacterial SSU rRNA". It matches the Rfam family "Bacterial small subunit ribosomal RNA", at positions 356 to 1532 of the family's 1533-position model. Lineage: Bacteria; Bacillati; Cyanobacteriota; Cyanophyceae; Leptolyngbyales; Leptolyngbyaceae. The record is from RNAcentral.
GGGGAAUUUUCCGCAAUGGGCGAAAGCCUGACGGAGCAAUACCGCGUGAGGGAGGAAGGCUCUUGGGUCGUAAACCUCUUUUGUCAGGGAAGAAGCUCUGACGGUACCUGACGAAUCAGCAUCGGCUAACUCCGUGCCAGCAGCCGCGGUAAUACGGAGGAUGCAAGCGUUAUCCGGAAUUAUUGGGCGUAAAGCGUCCGCAGGUGGUUGUUCAAGUCUGCUGUUAAAGCGUGGAGCUUAACUCCAUAUCGGCAGUGGAAACUGAGCGACUAGAGUUCGGUAGGGGUAGCGGGAAUUCCCAGUGUAGCGGUGAAAUGCGUAGAUAUUGGGAAGAACACCGGCGGCGAAGGCGCGCUACUGGGCCGAAACUGACACUCAUGGACGAAAGCUAGGGGAGCGAAAGGGAUUAGAUACCCCUGUAGUCCUAGCCGUAAACGAUGACAACUAGGUGUUGCCCGUAUCGACCCGGGCAGUGCCGUAGCUAACGCGUUAAGUUGUCCGCCUGGGGAGUACGCACGCAAGUGUGAAACUCAAAGGAAUUGACGGGGGCCCGCACAAGCGGUGGAGUAUGUGGUUUAAUUCGAUGCAACGCGAAGAACCUUACCAGGGCUUGACAUGUCGCGAAUCUUUCUGAAAGGAGAGAGUGCCUACGGGAGCGCGAACACAGGUGGUGCAUGGCUGUCGUCAGCUCGUGUCGUGAGAUGUUGGGUUAAGUCCCGCAACGAGCGCAACCCUCGUUUCUAGUUGCCAUCAUUCAGUUGGGCACUCUGGAGAGACUGCCGGUGACAAACCGGAGGAAGGUGGGGAUGACGUCAAGUCAGCAUGCCCCUUACGUCCUGGGCUACACACGUACUACAAUGCUAUGGACAGAGAGUCGCAAGCCAGCGAUGGCAAGCCAAUCUCAUAAACCAUGGCUCAGUUCAGAUUGCAGGCUGCAACUCGCCUGCAUGAAGGAGGAAUCGCUAGUAAUCGCAGGUCAGCAUACUGCGGUGAAUACGUUCCCGGGCCUUGUACACACCGCCCGUCACACCAUGGAAGUUGGCCACGCCCGAAGUCAUUACUCCAACCGUAAGGAGGGGGAUGCCGAAGGCAGGGCUGAUGACUGGGGUGAAGUCGUAACAAGGUAGCCGUACCGGAAGGUGUGGCUGGAUCACCUCCUU